RNAcentral lists this ribosomal RNA (222 nucleotides) under uncultured Actinomycetales bacterium. RNAcentral describes it as "partial 16S ribosomal RNA". It matches the Rfam family "Bacterial small subunit ribosomal RNA", at positions 110 to 334 of the family's 1533-position model. Lineage: Bacteria; Bacillati; Actinomycetota; Actinomycetes; Actinomycetales. The record is from RNAcentral.
GUAACACGUGAGUAACCUGCCCUUGACUUUGGGAUAACUUCAGGAAACUGGGGCUAAUACCGGAUAGGAGCUCCUGCUGCAUGGUGGGGGUUGGAAAGUUUCGGCGGUUGGGGAUGGACUCGCGGCUUAUCAGCUUGUUGGUGGGGUAGUGGCUUACCAAGCUUUGACGGGUAGCCGGCCUGAGAGGGUGACCGGCCACAUUGGGACUGAGAUACGGCCCAG